Molecule: unclassified non-coding RNA, 78 nt
Filed under: Kaistella treverensis
Lineage: Bacteria; Pseudomonadati; Bacteroidota; Flavobacteriia; Flavobacteriales; Weeksellaceae
Description: Chryseobacterium treverense Flavo-1 RNA
Source: RNAcentral
UUUGCGACCCGAGCUGAGUGGAGCUCUUUUGCGGAGCGAAGCGGAGCAAAAAAGCGGGAACGGAGCGCGGAUAAAGUC